This 274-nucleotide ribosomal RNA is filed under the name uncultured bacterium. RNAcentral describes it as "partial 16S ribosomal RNA". It matches the Rfam family "Bacterial small subunit ribosomal RNA", at positions 523 to 796 of the family's 1533-position model. The record is from RNAcentral.
AUACGGAGGGUGCAAGCGUUAAUCGGAAUUACUGGGCGUAAAGCGCGCGUAGGCGGUUUAGUAAGUCGGAUGUGAAAGCCCAGGGCUCAACCUUGGAAUUGCAUUCGAUACUGCUUAACUAGAGUAUGGUAGAGGGAAGUGGAAUUUCCGGUGUAGCGGUGAAAUGCGUAGAUAUCGGAAGGAACACCAGUGGCGAAGGCGACUUCCUGGGCCAAUACUGACGCUGAGGUGCGAAAGCUAGGGGAGCGAACGGGAUUAGAAACCCCAGUAGUCC